Molecule: long non-coding RNA, 649 nt
Filed under: Actinidia chinensis (golden kiwifruit)
Lineage: Eukaryota; Viridiplantae; Streptophyta; Magnoliopsida; Ericales; Actinidiaceae
Description: long non-coding RNA (ACHI_LNC000656)
Source: RNAcentral
UUGGAUCCAUGAAAUUUCCAUGUCAAAGACAUGGGGACACAGCAAAAUCUCAUAUUUCUUAAUGUAUUAUUUUAAUUUUUUUGGGGUGAAUUUUGUUUAGAAGGUAUCAUAGAGUAUUUAAUGCAUAUAAUUACAGUUGUAUUACUAAAUAUGCUUCCUUAGUGAAUGUCCAAUUAAAAUUUCAUACAUAUAUCUCGUAACAUACCCAACUGUCGAGUAUCCAACACGGUACUCCUCACUAUUCAACUUUUUAAAUAUGUAGCAAAGAUUUAGAGCCAUUGAAUCUCGAGUAGGCCUGGGACUUAUUAGAAGUCUGCUCCAUUCCAAGGUCUUUCAUGUUCAAAACCUCCUAGGUGCAAUCAAUUCCCGAGUUGGGCCAGUCCAUACGGGACGUUGCCCCCGGCUUUAAUCAGGCCUCACACUAGUGGACAGUGGGAUUUGUCCAUCAGAUUAGUCGGUUCUUAGGCUGGAUAGCAAGUUGUCAACAAUAGUUAUUGAUACCCUAGAUCUUCUCAGUUUUUUUCGCUCUAUAUAUCGGCAAUUCCUACAAUAUGAGCUUCUGAGGAUGUUUCCUGCAUUUCUUUUUCUGCAUGUUUAUUAUUGUUUCAAACUAACGAUCCUUCUAAUUUUAGGUAAAUUUUCUUGUUCA